RNAcentral lists this ribosomal RNA (3154 nucleotides) under Pyrenophora tritici-repentis. RNAcentral describes it as "bacterial LSU rRNA". The stretch from base 688 to 3154 matches the Rfam family "Bacterial large subunit ribosomal RNA", at positions 1 to 2521 of the family's 2925-position model. Lineage: Eukaryota; Fungi; Ascomycota; Dothideomycetes; Pleosporales; Pleosporaceae. The record is from RNAcentral. RNAcentral also lists the same sequence under 1 other name.
ACUGAUGUGGACAAAAUACGGAUCUUAACAGAAAACCGUAAUAAAGUAGCUGUAUAUCGUUGAGUAAACAAGGUAAACGGUAAUAUUUACAUUGGUAGUUCUACUAAUUUACAUGUUAGAAUGUAUACAUAUUUUAGUUUACGUUCUCUAGCAAAAAGUAAUAGACCUAUUGAUAGAGCUCUUUUAAAACACGGGUAAGAAAAAAAAGUAAAAAAAAUUCUCCUACCCCUGCUACCCCCAACUACGGAGUCGUUGGAGGGUCCGGGAAUUUUUUUUAUUUUUUUUCUUGCUAACUUUAGAUUAGAAAUCUUGGAGUAUUGUUCCUAUGAAGAUGUACUUAAAAGAGAGCAAUAUUACUUAGAUCUUUGUAAACCUCAUUAUAAUAUAGCUACUAUCGCAGGCUCUACUUUAGGAUAUAAACAUUCUCAAGAAUCACUAGAAAAAAUGAGAAACAUUAUUCUAAGUGAUGAAGUAAGAGAAAGAAAAGCUCUUUCUACUGUUAAUGCUUCAAUAGCUAAUAGAUUGCCUAUUAGUGUUAAAAAUAUAAUAACUAAUGAUGUAACAAGUUAUGCUAGCAUGACUGAGGCAGGUAAAGCAUUAGGUGUAACAAGAGCUACAGUAAGUCAAGCAUUGUUGCAUAAUAGACUAAUUAAAAAAACGUAUUCUAUCUGUAAAAUUAAAUAAAAACUUCAAAAAAUAAAAUUAUAUUAUCUGUUAAAUGGAUAGUAAUAAAAUGCUAUUUAGGGAGAAAAGUCUCAGCUCGGCCUAAGUUGGAAUAAAUAAAAUUCCACGGCCAAAGAGAUAAUUUGUAUCGUUGUAAAGAUAUCCAAAGAACUGUGGUAAGUUAGUGAAAGACAAUCCUGACUACUAUAGCUGGUUUUCCGCGAAACAUAUGUAAGUAUGUAGUUUAAAUAACAUCAUAGCAGGUACAGAACUGUAAUCUCGGACAAUUUGUGCAUUAAUAUCCUAUUAGGGUAUAUAAUGCCUUGUGCAUAUGGGGGGGUCGUGAAGACUCUAUUCGCGAGUAUUUGCUCUCGGAAGGGCAAUGAUGAGUGUUGAACUAUCAGACAUUUAACGAUAAGGUUGUGUGUCAAAAGGGAAACAGCCCAGAACAAGUGUUUAAGGUUCCAAAGUUUUUGUUAAGUGAAAGUAAGGAAGUAUUUAAACUAUACAACCAGGAAAUAGGCUUAGAAGCGGCCAUUUUUUAAAGACCUCGUAACAGAGCACUGGUUCAAAUGGUUAAUUCGUUAACCUAAUUAGUUAAAAGCGCCGAAGAUAUAACGGAUCUAAAACAAAACACCGACACCUUGUCCAUAAUAAUAAUAUUAGGUUAAAUCCUAGUUUACUAUACUUAAAGGUUAUUUAAGUAUUAUUUAUGGGGUAGCGGAACAUUGGGUAAAUAGGUUUUAAAUAGAUAGCACUCCCUACCCUUAGCUUAAUUGAAUUUGGGGAGAGGUCUUUUAUUAAUGUAUAAUAACUGACUAUAGAGGGUUACGUCUAUUUCAUAAUUACAUUUGUAAUUUGCUCGCUAUAUAGCGGGUUACCAUACAUAUCCCAAGUGAGAAUGCUGACACGAGUAACGAAAAAGAGGGAGAAAUUGGGCAAACCCAAUUGAACAGGAUAGAUUGAAGUACGUAGAUAAACUAAAUAGAUGAUACGACCCAACCUGUUGUAAGGUCCUCUCGCCUUAAGCUUAUGGGAAAGUUAAUCGGUCUCUAAAUUUAACCUAAAGGAUAAAAUGAUGAGGAAAAGUAUAUGUGACAACAUAAAAUGGAGUAAAAUGUUCUGGAAAAGCAUAUACUAAGCAAGGAAGGAGAAAUGGUUCUAGGUUAUAAACUAAAAAGAAGAUACUAGGCAUUUCUUUCUAUAGGGAAUAAACUAGAACAGAUGAUACUAGUUUCCUUGUUUAUACUAAAACCGUACCUAAAAACUACCACAAGUAAGCUAGUAGAGAAUACGAAGGCGUUUGAGCUAACAAUCAUUAAGGAACUCGGCAAAUUGACACCGUAACUGCGGGAGAAGGUGUGCCAUUCCUACUGAUUAAUAUCAGUUUAGGAAGAGGAGACAUAAAAUGGUGUUGCACGACUGUUUAAUUAAAACACAGCACUUUGCGUAAGAUGUAAAUCAAUGUAUAGAGUGCGCUAUCUGCCCAAUGAUGGCUGGUUAACGGAUUUACUUAGACGACUAAAAUAGCCUAGGUUUUGAAGGAACCCCCAUUUAAUGGCGGCCUUACCUAUAAGGGUCCUAAGGUAGCGAAAUACCUUGGCAUUUAAAUGAUGUCGCGCAUGAAUGAUCUCACGAUGCAACAGCUGUCUCAAUGAUUGGCUCAGUGAAACUGGAAUGGCAGUGAAGAUACUGCCUAUCUCUAGAUAGACGAGAAGACCCCAUGCAGCUUUACUGUUACUAGUUAUAGGGUAUAAUUUAACAGGUUUUAGGGAAUAAGGUAGUUGAACGACAAAAUUGAAACACCUUUACUCUGGUUGUUAUAUCAGUAGAAUAGGUUACAUUAUUGUAACUGACGUCUGAAUGUAAUCCAUAAAAGGAGGGAGAUUAUAUCAAGCUCAGGAGACAAUGGCUAGCAGAUGGUUUAUGCGGGGCACAGAUCCCAUAAAGAGUACCUGGGAGUAUCCAAAUUUAUUUUUGUAAUAUGCUAUACGCAAAUUAUAUGGGGCUUUUAUUAAAUAAUUGCCUUGUAUAUUUUAAUUUUUUAAUUACUAUAUUUAGUUUGUUAUUUUUUAUAUUUACUUUUAUAAAGUAUCUAUAACUAAUUCAGUUAUAUUUCUAUUUAAGUUAGAACUAAAACAAUUUAAUAUAAGUAAGAUUUUACCUAUGUGGAAAAUAGGUGUAUAUAUAGUAUUAAUAAUUAAUAUCUAAUGGUAAAAUAACAAUAUAGAGUAAAAGAAGAUAUAAUUAUAACACUAUUAGUUAUUUUUUUUUACAGAAUACCUGUAUAAGAGAAAUGAUGUUGAUAUAUACUUCAAAAGUUUAAUGGCUUAAUCUUGCUUUACUGUUUGACAUACACGUCUAUCAGUUGCGUAAGCAGGGCAUAAAGACCGCAAGACGCAGUAAGGAAAGGUCUUGUAUUAUUGAAAAAGCUACGCUGGGGAUAACAGGCUAAUUGCGCCAGAGAGUACAAAUUGAGUGCGCAGUUUGG